Molecule: transfer RNA, 72 nt
Filed under: Candidatus Parcubacteria bacterium
Lineage: Bacteria; Candidatus Parcubacteria
Description: tRNA-Thr
Rfam family: tRNA
About the family: Transfer RNA (tRNA) molecules are approximately 80 nucleotides in length. Their secondary structure includes four short double-helical elements and three loops (D, anti-codon, and T loops). Further hydrogen bonds mediate the characteristic L-shaped molecular structure. tRNAs have two regions of fundamental functional importance: the anti-codon, which is responsible for specific mRNA codon recognition, and the 3' end, to which the tRNAs corresponding amino acid is attached (by aminoacyl-tRNA synthetases). tRNAs cope with the degeneracy of the genetic code in two manners: having more than one tRNA (with a specific anti-codon) for a particular amino acid; and 'wobble' base-pairing, i.e. permitting non-standard base-pairing at the 3rd anti-codon position.
Source: RNAcentral
GCCAGCGUAGCUCAAUGGUAGAGCAGGUCCUUCGUAAGGACAAGGUUGUGGGUUCAAAUCCCAUCGCUGGCU